AGGCGGCUUGCCGCCGAAGUGAGCGAUACCCUGCUUCCAGGAAAAGCCACUAAGCUUCAGCUACACACGACCGUACCGCAAACCGACACUGAUGCGCGAGAUGAGUAUUCUAAGGCGCUUGAGAGAACUCUGGAGAAGGAACUCGGCAAAUUGACACCGUAACUUCGGAAGAAGGUGUGCCUUUAGUAGGUGAUCCAUUUACUUGGUGAGCCCAAUGAGGCCGCAGAGAAUCGGUGGCUGCAACUGUUUAAUAAAAACACAGCACUCUGCAAAGACGAAAGUCGACGUAUAGGGUGUGACGCCUGCCCGGUGCUGGAAGAUUAAAUGAUGGGGUGCAAGCUCUUGAUUGAAGUCCCAGUAAACGGCGGCCGUAACAAUAACGGUCCUAAGGUAGCGAAAUUCCUUGUCGGGUAAGUUCCGACCUGCACGAAUGGCGUAAUGAUGGCCACACUGUCUCCUCCAGAGACUCAGCGAAGUUGAAAUGUUUGUGAUGAUGCAAUCUCCCCGCGGAAAGACGGAAAGACCCCAUGAACCUUUACUGUAGCUUUACAUUGGACUUUGAACAGAUCUGUGUAGGAUAGGUGGGAGGCUUUGAAGCGGUGCCGCUAGGUGUCGUGGAGCCAACCUUGAAAUACCACCCUGGUGUGUUUGAGGUUCUAACCUUGGCCCGUUAUCCGGGUUGGGGACAGUGUAUGGUGGGCAGUUUGACUGGGGCGGUCUCUUCCCAAAGUGUAACGGAGGAGUUCGAAGGUACGCUAAAUACGGUCGGAAAUCGUGUUGAUAGUGCAUUGGCAUAAGCGUGCUUGACUGCGAGACUGACAUGUCGAGCAGGUACGAAAGUAGGACAAAGUGAUCCGGUGGUUCUGUAUGGAAGGGCCAUCGCUCAACGGAUAAAAGGUACUCUGGGGAUAACAGGCUGAUACCGCCCAAGAGUUCAUAUCGACGGCGGUGUUUGGCACCUCGAUGUCGGCUCAUCUCAUCCUGGGGCUGUAGCCGGUCCCAAGGGUAUGGCUGUUCGCCAUUUAAAGAGGUACGUGAGCUGGGUUUAAAACGUCGAGAGACAGUUUGGUCCCUAUCUUCCGUGGGCGCUGCAAGAUUGAGAGAGCCUGCUCCUAGUACGAGAGGACCGGAGUGGACGCACCUCUGGUGUAUCGGUUGUCACGCCAGUGGCAUUGCCGAGUAGCUAAGUGCGGAAGAGAUAACCGCUGAAAGCAUCUAAGCGGGAAACUCGUCUCAAGAUGAGUCUUGCCGGGGCCUUGAGCCCCCUGAAGGGUCGUUCGAGACCAGGACGUUGAUAGGUCGGGUGUGGAAGCGCAGUAAUGCGUUAAGCUAACCGAUACUAAUUGCCCGUGAGGCUUGACCCU
This 1364-nucleotide ribosomal RNA is filed under the name metagenome. RNAcentral's name for it is "bacterial LSU rRNA". It matches the Rfam family "Bacterial large subunit ribosomal RNA", at positions 1572 to 2925 of the family's 2925-position model. The record is from RNAcentral.